GACGAACGCUGGCGGCGUGCUUAACACAUGCAAGUCGAACGGUAAGGCCCUUCGGGGUACACGAGUGGCGAACGGGUGAGUAACACGUGGGUGAUCUGCCCUGCACUUCGGGAUAAGCCUGGGAAACUGGGUCGAAUACCGGAUAGGACCCUGGGAUGCAUGUCCUGGGGUGGAAAGCUUUUGCGGUGUGGGAUGGGGCCGCGGCCUAUCAGCUUGUUGGUGGGGUGGUGGCCUACCAAGGCGACGACGGGUAGCCGGCCUGGGAGGGUGCCCGGCCACACUGGGACUGAGAUACGGCCCAGACUCCUACGGGAGGCAGCAGUGGGGAAUAUUGCACAAUGGGCGCAAGCCUGAUGCAGCGACGCCGCGUGAGGGAUGACGGCCUUCGGGUUGUAAACCACUUUCAGCACCGACGAAGCGCAAGUGACGGUAGGUGCAGAAGAAGGACCGGCCAACUACGUGCCAGCCGCCGCGGUAA
RNAcentral lists this ribosomal RNA (478 nucleotides) under uncultured bacterium. RNAcentral describes it as "partial 16S ribosomal RNA". It matches the Rfam family "Bacterial small subunit ribosomal RNA", at positions 28 to 523 of the family's 1533-position model. The record is from RNAcentral.